CAGGGCUCAAGCAAAGAACUGGGAUCAUCUAUUGUCUGCUGUUGCCUGCCUGCAGCUGAGGUGAAGACUUAUGCUUUUCACCAAAGACUGCUAUUUUAAGGGUUGUCAAAAGCACUGGGGAAGCGACAAAGGAUAACCUCACACUUGAGCUGUGGUGCCAGCACAGGAUGUCUGCUGGAUGCAGUGCUCCUUGGCAUGUGUGUGUGCAAGUGCCUUGCCGAAUAACAUCAUUUUCCCAGAGGUGACCUGGCAGAAAUGAACUGUGCUUUGCAUCUGCCCCUCCCAUGCCUUUCGAUCCCAUCGCAAUUAUCUGUAACUGCAUUUGCUGCCUCCUAGAAGGACAACUUCAUAUUGAGGUCUCUGGAUCUUAUCAGACUUUGGUUUCUGAAUCAAACACAGAGACUCCUGGAUGAAGCUCUAAUAUGGAUCUAGGCAAUGUUGUAUCACACCUUUUAUCCUGUGUCUUUCUGUGGAAACUUCUUACACAGCUGCACAAUCUCCGAAUAGAUCUGGAUGUGGAGUGGUGCAGUGAUACAAAUGGAAGUCAGCUAACAGCUCUUUGCAAGUCCCUGAGGCAGCAGAUCAGAUGGAAACCCCUGGGCAAUCUCAGACUGACGUUCAGUGCUCCUGACAGAGAUGGCUCUGGGCUGCAGAUGUUCACGGGACCAUAUGGCAUCUGCACGUUGUCUUCGAGAAUUAUUACAAAAUAGACUGUUUUGGAGGGGAAAGAUAACCUGAUCAUAAAUAUUAAUCACUGCAGCUGUAGUUUGAAUGUCUGUAAAAGUGUCAUAAUGGAAUUCCAGACUUUUCCUGUUUUCAUUCACUGGUGUGUAUUUUCCAUACUAUUUCACAAGUAAAAAUCUAUUUUUCAGAGGACUCUGGUAACCCUACAGAUUGUCUGGACACAAACUGAGUUUUUUCUUGACAAGACCGUCUGAACUAAGAUGCAUUGUACAUGCAAAAUGUAAUUCUUGUCAGGAGAUCUAAACCACUGGCUUUCCCAGCAAAAUCCUGUUGUCUUUUUUCCUCCAAAACACUAAUAAUCCCAACUGUAGAGCUGAAAACUCUGCUUUCCUCCCUGAGCUGCAGUAACACCAGGGUGUUGGUGGAAACCCUAGUGCCAACUCAUGAUUAGGCCCGAGUGGAAUGUCUUGUUGAAUUUGACUCUUUAUGACCUUCUCUGUUUUUUCUGCAAAUAGGUGCAUUUCCAAUACCUUGAGAACAUUUGUUUGAACAAAGCUGGCUAUCACUGGGUCUGGUACAGUGGCUGUGUACUGCUUGCUUAGGUGUUGCUUUCUUCCUAAGGCCCCUUGGUGUCACCGUGAGCAUCUCCUGAAGGAUUGCUGCCGUGGGGUCACAGGCUUGCUCCACUGUUAAGGAUUCCUUGGAGGCCGCUGGAAAGUGGUGUCAUUGUACAACUGUGGAGUAUGAGAGGGUGAGAUGGGAUGUGUUCAUUAACACAUGAGUUUGUGUUCAUUACCAGUGUUCCUUGUGGUGGGGAGUGCAGAUUCUGCAGAAGCACCUUCAGACAGUUUUUGAAGGGGAGAGCCAGCAGCUGGUAGUGUAGCAAAGCUGGGUAAUAGACUCUGAGGUUCCUUCUGCCUGUUCAGAGCAUUUCCUGUAGAUUCAUAUCAUUUAGCAGCUCUUCCCUGACACUCUGGAAUUUCCCUCUCAGAUAUUUUCAUUUUAGUGCAAUCUUCAGGAACUUGAUGUUUUCAGUCUGGUCAGCUUUUUGGUGCAAAUCAGGAUGCAAUUUUGUAACUUAGGUAACUGGAUUUUUCUUAGUAACUAACUCCAAAUCAAAUGUACACAUAGAAGCAAUUGCAACAGGAGAGCAAAGGCAGAGAUCACAGAGCAAACCAAGCAGUGAAUUUUGGUUCAGUAAAGGAUUUCCCAGAUUGGUUCAGGAAUCUUUUGUACCAUCCCACACUCCUCUUUAAUGAGAUUGGACUACAUUUGAAACAAAAACUGAGUUUACAUUCAAAUCAUUAUAAACUUUGGGGAAAGGAAAGGAAGGAAGUAUUGAUAUUAUGUAAUAUUUUGUUAUCUCUUUGAUUUUGACAUUUCCUGGAGCCGAGUGAGCCAAAGCACAAGGGAUGUAAAUGAAUCCAUUACAUUUGCAAGUGAAACUCAAUGCAGAGUAAUUCAAUGUAAGAGCUCAGCCCAUCUCCCUGUGUGCCUUAAAGUACCUCUAAGGACAACUUGGUGGUCAUCUCCCAUUAUAAAGGUGAUCAAUAGGAAUGAAAAUGGCAAUUCAGCUGGGGAGGCCCAGUGUAACGGCUGGAUUCAUUUCAACUCCCAAGUUAUCCAGCCCUCCCAGCAGAGUGAGACUGAACAGGCACUCAAACACUUGAAGGGAAGAGCAGGCUUAGGAGCAAAGCUGAGUGUGUUGAAAUGGUAAGAUCAAGGAGCUGUUGUGAAAAGAAUGAUGCAGUAGCAGAUAGCACCCAGCACCUCCCAUGGGGAUGUAUCUGCACUGAAAAAGGCUGGAUGUGAGCCAGUAUUAUUACUGGAGAGCUGAGAGACAUAACAAGAAAAAUGUCAUCUUCUUUUAGUCUGUAGCUGGUCAUAGUAAUUGGCCUAAUAAUGUCAUCCUGCAGUUAUUUAUAUGCAGCAGUGUGUCCUGGGAUCGAUUCCAUUUGUUUGUGUGCUGUAGAGACAAAGACAAGAGAGAACCUGUAUGCAUCUUGAUACAUACUGUAUGACUCUGGUUCUCUGCCUCCAAAUUCUUCUCAUUUUCCUCAUCUUUUAUAGGAGCAAGAAAUAAGAACAGAUGUAUUUCUUCCCAUAGUUUUAAAUUUUGAGGUUUCAGCCUUCUGAUGUUCCAUCUGCUUGUUACCAUGAACUGUGGGAGCAGUGCAUUUCCUUGACACUCCUUCAUGUAUUCUCAAAAGAGGGAGACGUUAAGAAAACUUAAUAAUUGAAAAAUGUAUAGCACAAAGAAGAUGUACCUCCCCUCCAAAUCCCAAGGCUGGGUGUUUGGUUACCCCUGUACCUGACUGGGGGGAUGGCUGACUGCUGUGCUCACUGUUAAUAGAAGACAUCACUCUCCAAUAGGCAUGUGGGAAAGAGGAUACAAAGACUGACUGUGCACCUGACUUCAGGAAGAUGUGCUUCAUAUGAGGCUUUCCAAGGCCCAUUCCAAGUGUUUAUGGCAUCACAUAUUCUGAAAGAGCAUCCCAAAUACCUGGUGAUCUUUUCUAGCUGUUACUUUGUGAGAAGCAGUCGGCAAUAGCGUGUGGAAGUCCCAGUAUCAGAGGAAAUGCAGUUAAAAUGAGGUAUUAGGUGCAGGAACUGACUUUGUAUGAGAAUUGUGGGCUUUCUGCUUGCAGCUCCUUUCAGGCUUUUGUUUACCUUUGUCACCAUAUCUGGUGGGGAAGGACUGGCUGAAAUGAAAGGCAGAGGAGCAGGAGGGUCACAACCUGGACAUCUCAUACCAGAAAUACAGUGUUUAACCACUCAAACUGCCUUUUGGUGCAGGUUCUGCUGCACAGGGUGCUCUACCAGUGUGGAAUAAAUCACUGCCUUCAAGCAGUCUGGUCAAAGAGCCUAAUCCCAGUUCCAUCAAACUCCAUCCAUCCACUUUGUACCAGAUCCUUUCAGACAAGGCAGAACUUGAGUAGGUAAUUAUUUACUGCUUUACCAAAUAAUUGAUGUUACAAGGUCAUAGGGAAAAGCUGGUGCUUCAGCUGAGUUGGGCUUGUGAAUUCAGAUUUUCCAACUUCCAUUUGAUCACAGAAUUGUUCUCCUUGAGCCACUGCCUGUGACUUCAUGUCACAACAGAAGAACACAUCUGCAGGCAUGCUGGCACCGUCGUUUGUGGGUUGGACAAACACAGAGAUGGUUCUGUGUCUUUGCAACAUGCUGGAUGCUCCCGUUCUGCACACAUUUCGAGUGAUCAGGGCUGAUAUAACUGAUCAGUGACAGUUUUCACCCUUCCAAAAAUAUCUCCAGCUUAGUCAUUUUAUUAUAAAUGCUAAUAAUUGUAAUUAUCAUCUGCACUUGGAAAAUGUCUCUAACUCAUCACAUGGAAGCAUCAGCAAUUUAUAUAGGUGGGGAUCUACUGAGCCCCUUAUGAGUGUUUAAAAAUGUACCUAAAAAUAAAACUACUUUAUGACCUACUUGAUAACAUAGCUCUACCAAUAAGUAGACAAAGUUGGACUGCUGAUAUUUUUAAAAUGUAUUUUUAUAGAUCAGUGAAGUAAAAGGACAGUUUUUAGUAUUUUUUGCAGAAAAAGUAGCUUGGCAUUGAAUACCUGUGUACAUUAGGUAUGAUAAGAGAUCUUCUUUAAUCAUUUUAGUAUGUACAAUGUAUAAAUUGUUCAAGAGAACAUAUCUAAUAAUACUGUAUAUGUCUAUAAUUUAUAUAAUCAUAUGUAGUACACAUAACACAAUUUGUUUUAAUAUAUAAAAAUUAAGGUGAAGUAUUUUUCCAAAACUGAAAUAAUCUGUAGGCAGAGUAAAGGAGGUGGAGUUUUCUGGGUGGCUGCAGCUCUGGAGGACAGACAGAGCUGUGGCUGUAGCAGAGGGGAUCUUGGCCAGGUGCUUGGGCUGGUUGUCAGGUCUGGCUUUUCCUUUCUGCCUGCUGUGAGAAGAGCUGCUGCAGGGUGUGCACAACUGCAGUGCUUUCACUGCUGUCAGGAUCUGAUCCAGAGCCCAGGGAAAUCACUGCAGUGAUGGACAAGCUCCUCUGGGACAUGAACUACCCCAGGAGGGGAUUUCAGGGUCACCCUUCCCUCUGGCUGUUUCCCCAGUGAUGUGAAAGGGAGUUUUGUCUGCCUCAGGACUGCUGAGCCCCAGGGGAUUUCUCUCUGUUCCAGCCCAAGAACAUUUCGUGUGCCUGUUGGAAUCACUCUGUACUGGCAGCCUGGUGUACAUUUUACCUUCUUCCAAAACACUAAUCCUGAGUGAGGAAGGGCUGAAGGAAUAUAAUGUCUGGGAGAAUGUUGCCAACACCACUGACAUUUAAUGGCUCUGCCCUUGGGAUUUCUUUUUAGCUAACUUUUUCCUAUCACUAUCAUAGUGAAAAUGUUAAAUGUAAGAACACAGAGCUACUUCAUGGAUUAAAAGGCAGAUCUCCCAAAACAAAUAGAUUUGUCUUGACAAUUUGUCUGCAGACCACCUAGUAUGGAUAAUUUUGAGGAGAGAGUUGUUUUACUGAGGACACUGUGGGUUUGCACAUUUGUCUGAGACUUGUCCAUAAUCUGUAGCAUUUGCUGCAAAUUCGUUUUUUAAGUGUAUUUUUUAAGUGUUUUAAGACAGUGCUUCUUUGUAACAUCUGUUAGUAUACCACCCAUGGAUUAAUAAGCUUUGCAGAGCUGUGGAGACAUAGAAGAUCUCUAGAAUAUGUUUUCACUUGCCAAACUCCGGAUUAUGGAAAUCAUUGUCAAAGUGGUGAGUUGUGUGAGUUCAUUAGGAGUUGAAUUUCCAGUGUAAGUCAAAGGGGAUUCAGGCUUGUAGCAAUCUGAAGCUCGUUUUUUGUAAAUUCCCCAUCAGUACAUAAAAGUUUCAGAAGCUCAUAACUACUGUACACCUGGCUCAUUGCUGAAAUCUUUUCAUGGUAAAUGAGAUCUGUAAAAUUCCCAGUUCAGUAAAGUAUUAAGGUACAUACUGAAGUCAGUCCUGUUAAAUCCAGCAAUUAAACCAAUGCCAGUGAGUUUUGAGCACAUACCUAAAGCUAAAAUAUGCGCUUGCUUUCUUUGUGAUGUGUUUCAUUCUUUUAAAGUUUUAGUGUGACUCAAGAACAGAGCUGUGGUUUAGAUUAUUUUGUCUGAACAGGUUUGAUCUUUUCAAUAUGCUGGUCUAGAGCCUCGGGAAAACUGUCCACCCUCUCAGAAGAGGUUCUGUUAAGCUCUGAUGCUGAAAAAAAGUGCUCCAGAAGUGAGAAGAUCACACCUAUGCCUUGUUUGGCAUAAAUGCUGGAACUGGAAAACCACAAAACUGGAUCUGAGAUGAAACAAUAGGGCGUUAAUGGUGCUCAUGAGUAUCCCAUAAGCAGGCUUUUUGAAGUUACUGAAACACUAAACUGGUAGGCAGUAAAAGAGGUACCACAAUAAUUGUAUGUCAGGAGGUCCAUCUGUUUGCCAAUAACUAACUUACAUUUAGUGACUUACAAAUUCAGCCAGAAAUGCAACCCCUGACCAUCCCAGUGGUACUCUGGAGUCCUCCUCUGAACGUGGCCAGCUUGGAUCAAAGGAACCCUCUCAGCUCUCAGGUUGUGGUGCUGCCCUUCAAGUCCGUGUUUAAGUUUGUGUUAAAAUAAGAACACAACUGCAAGCUAUUGAAAUGCUGCUUUCUCCUGAAUUAUUUGCUAGGCCUGAUUUUUAAAAGUGAGUGUUUCACUUUAUCAAUGUUCCCUCGGGUAAGUGCUGCUUCCAGCCUUCCUGCCCUGUAUGUUCUGGGGCUAUGUUAAGUCCCUGAGCCAUUUUUGUUCCAUGACAGCAAAGCUGCUCCUUCACCCACCUUGUCUGCUCACAGAGAUUUUGCCUGAUUCUGUGGGAGCUGGCAUGAAAACUUUGGUUUUGAAUAUUUCAAUGUGUUACAAAGUACAGCAAACAAUAGAAAUCUCACCUAAAGAGGGGGGAGUGAAGGAUAAACCUGUAAAGCCAGGCUCUUCAUCUUCCACUCUGCUUUUAUCACAGCUGUAAUGUGAGCAAUUUCAGUUAAAAGCUCCUGUCAGACAACAGUUACUGUAGGUUACAGCAGCAUAGGGAACAGUCUUGGUCAAAGGCAAAUCAGGAAUUCCUCUAAAAAAGAGAUCAUUUGCUCAAAACUCCCUUCCACUUAAAAUGACCAGAUUUUGGUCUAAUGAGCAAUAAAGAGAAUUAAUUCACAAGUGGUGCAACUAUUAACUGAUGUUGUUGAAAAGACCAAAAAGCUUUUCUGGAGGAUUUCUGGAACUUAGUUUCAUUGGCCACAUUUCAAAAUCAGGCAUCUUUAAAGAGGCAAACUGUCCCUUUACCCUCCAGAACCCCACCUUUGUAUUAAGUGUAGUUGCUUCAUAGUUUGCAGUCUCUCAGUCCCACUGGAGUGAUUCACUUGCACAGAGCACACUGGGGUAAAACAGAGCUUUGUGUGCAGUGUGAGCUCAUCAAAUAAAUGUUAUUGCCCAAAAUGGGAGUCCUACGAAGCGUUUGUCAGGUGUGUCCUGCUGCCUUCAGAGUGAAGGGAAUGUAGUUUGCAGUUUGAGUAUUAAAAUUUCUCCACAGCACUCCAGAGCUAUUAAACCAGUCCUCUUGAGGAAGUUCUGUGCCCCUUUGCCUGGCAGGAGUAUUUCUGCGUUCCCUAUCUCUCGUCUGACCAUUCUGUCCAGCAAAACAUUGUCUGCCCAAAAGCUGGCUAUACAGAGCAACCACAUUUCAAAAUCCCAAUAUGGGAAGAAGUCUCCCUUUCAGUCCACCCCUCAAUUUUCCCUAACAAGGGGGCCAUCCCCAUUUUCCAGCUUUCCCGUUCUCCGAUCUUCACUCCUCAUUUUCGGAACUCGUGCUUUGCUCGUGUAUCUCCAGGAUUCUCCUGCAGCUCUGUAUCUCCAGGAUUCUCCUGCAGCUCUGUAUCUCCAGGAUUCUCCUGCAGCUCUGUAUCUCCAGGAUUCUCCUGCAGCUCUGUAUCUCCAGGAUUCCCCUGCAGCUCUGUAUCUCCAGGAUUCUCCUGCAGCUCUGUAUCUCCAGGAUUCUCCUGCAGCUCUGUAUCUCCAGGAUUCUCCUGCAGCUCUGUAUCUCCAGGAUUCUCCUGCAGCUCUGUAUCUCCAGGAUUCCCCUGCAGCUCUGUAUCUCCAGGAUUCCCCAGCAUCAACCCACAGCACAGCUGCCAGUCGCUGAGCCCCACAUCCCCUCUCAUCUCCUGCUGUAUUGCAGAUGCUUCUGGUGGUGGGAUUUUAUCACUCUUCCUUUAAGCACUUACAUUGUUUUAAUAUGACCACUUGAGCACUCAAAGAAGUAUAACUUAUUGUAUGUGUUGCAAUUAACUGCUUGCUUUAUUUUCCCUGUUUUCUAAAGAAGAAUAAAGAAAACACGGAACAAUUCAAGGUCGUGGAAGAUUUACCUCUGCUUUCUGUAGCACUCUGAAAAUAUUUAUUUGGGUAUCUUAGGCUAGGGAUUGCAGAGGAGCUAAAAAGCUGGGCUUCUGCUGAAGCAUGCACUGCCAUGCAAUAGGAGCUGAGUGCUGAAGUCCCUGAGAGGCUCUGGAAUUCUGAGCAGUGUGAAACUGUUAAAUAGUUGUCUUUGAUAUAACCGGAGUGAUAUGAAGGAUUGGCUUUAGCUCUGAGCAGACAGUGACUGAAUUUGGUGAGAGAUUUAAGUACUGUUGAUAAUAUAUUGUCUGUGUUAAGGCACUCCUUAAAAGUGGACAUACAGAGAUUUUGGCCUGGUAGUCAUAUGCUGGCCACAAGCUUUCGGAAAUGAUUUCUGAAUGUCACGUUCAGCAAGUUCCUUUUGCAAUGCUGGGGCUCAAAUUACCUGUUGUAAUCAAAUUGCCUGAACAAUUGAAAGUGCUUUAAAAUAACUUAAAAUGUAUAAAUAUAAUUUUCUGACAUUUGGGCUUAAAUAAGAGCUCCCUUGCAUGACAAGUUUCAUUCCGGAGUGAAUUUUUACUGCCGAGUUAUAAACCCCUGGAGUAGCAGUUUCUAAUAAAAAUUCUGCCAGACUUGUAAUGAUAACAGCACGAGUAGUGCUGCUGUAAUAAAGAGAAAAAGGGAAUCAUCAGACUCACAGCUUAAAUUAUUUUUUUUAUAUAGUAGGCCUUUGAGAGAGGAUCCAAUGCUGAUGAUAUUCAUGGAGUACUGCUAAGAGUUAUAAAAUUGUUGACAAAUAUAUGGUCCUUUUACAGAAUACCAAAAAAAAGAAAUAUUUUUCAUUUGGCAAUUCAAGAGUUGCUGGUGACAAAGGAGCCAGUGAACAUUAAGUCUUGAAAUUAUUUAUUAUGAACACCACAUCUCACAAAAAAAAGCGCACGAGCAAUAUUAGAAAGCAUCUGAGUGGAAAAAAUGAUUAUUUUGUUAUUCAGUGCCUGCAUUGCAGGACAUUUUUCAUGUUAGUUAUCUGUGGCACUACACACUGUUGGGAGAAACUGUUUUUUCUCUGUUGAAAAGUUGUUUACAGGGCACAAUCCUAACUUGAGGAAACUGAGUUGGAAUGGUGUUGAAUAGGCUUAGGCAGAUUUGUUGAAGCUGUGAUGGAGGAACAGGGCAGGAAUGCCAUGGUCACAGAUGUUCAAAGGCAGGCAGUUGGUGGGUGUGGGUGUGAGGGGUCCCAGGGGUGUCUCAAGUGACACACAGGAGCAUUAGAAGGCACUGCCUGAAGCAGCAGUUACACCCUGGGGGGAAGCUGCUGGCUGGGAGGCUCUUUUAGUACCCUUGGAAGUUAUCUGCAGCACUCAGAUUUCCCUGUGACACGUUUCUCAAAGCCCAUCUCAAACAGAACAUAGGCUUCCUUGGAGCUGGUUGUUUGGGAAAUUGAUAGAAGGCAGCACAGCCGUUUAACUGUUGAAAUGACAUCCUAAAGACAGGCUCGGGAAACAAACCUCCUGCUGUUUCUAGAGAAGAUGUAGCUGUUCAGUGAUGCUGUGAAUUUGCCCAACUUUUUCUGAAGUUAGGGCAUAACAUCUUUUUAGGUGCUUAUUUUUGAAUGCUUCAAAAAACCAACCUGACAUAACACCUGCACAUUUCAGUUUGGGUUCUCUUUUUUCAGUUUUCCAUUUGUUGUGGGUACCUCAACCACAGAAAUUAUAUAACCAAACCUGUUCUUUCUGUCUGCCUAGGCAGGUGUGUGUGUCUGAGCUGCAUAGAAUCUGGACAAGGAUUUAAAAUGAAAAUUUGUUGUCUUCUGUGACUAAUUCUACUCUUAAAAGACUAUUGACACUACUGGCUGUUUUUUCUUAGGUAUUUUCUGUUUGCAGGAGCGCUGUGUAAUUUAUUCAGGCAGGUAAUGACCUAUUGUACUGCUGCAGCUUCUAAUAAAUUCCCAGAAUCCAA
Molecule: long non-coding RNA, 9967 nt
Organism: Pseudopipra pipra
Lineage: Eukaryota; Metazoa; Chordata; Aves; Passeriformes; Pipridae
Exons: 6
Source: RefSeq, a predicted model, not a curated record